RNAcentral lists this ribosomal RNA (824 nucleotides) under uncultured Cellulomonas sp. Its description in RNAcentral is "bacterial SSU rRNA". It matches the Rfam family "Bacterial small subunit ribosomal RNA", at positions 515 to 1339 of the family's 1533-position model. Lineage: Bacteria; Bacillati; Actinomycetota; Actinomycetes; Micrococcales; Cellulomonadaceae. The record is from RNAcentral.
CCGCGGUAAUACGUAGGGCGCAAGCGUUGUCCGGAAUUAUUGGGCGUAAAGAGCUCGUAGGCGGUUUGUCGCGUCUGCUGUGAAAACCUAAGGCUCAACCUUGGGCUUGCAGUGGGUACGGGCAGACUAGAGUGCGGUAGGGGUGACUGGAAUUCCUGGUGUAGCGGUGGAAUGCGCAGAUAUCAGGAGGAACACCGAUGGCGAAGGCAGGUCACUGGGCCGCAACUGACGCUGAGGAGCGAAAGCAUGGGGAGCGAACAGGAUUAGAUACCCUGGUAGUCCAUGCCGUAAACGUUGGGCACUAGGUGUGGGGCUCAUUCCACGAGUUCCGUGCCGCAGCAAACGCAUUAAGUGCCCCGCCUGGGGAGUACGGCCGCAAGGCUAAAACUCAAAGAAAUUGACGGGGGCCCGCACAAGCGGCGGAGCAUGCGGAUUAAUUCGAUGCAACGCGAAGAACCUUACCAAGGCUUGACAUACACCGGAAAAGUGCAGAGAUGUGCUCCCCGUAAGGUCGGUGUACAGGUGGUGCAUGGUUGUCGUCAGCUCGUGUCGUGAGAUGUUGGGUUAAGUCCCGCAACGAGCGCAACCCUCGUCCCAUGUUGCCAGCGGGUUAUGCCGGGGACUCAUGGGAGACUGCCGGGGUCAACUCGGAGGAAGGUGGGGAUGACGUCAAAUCAUCAUGCCCCUUAUGUCUUGGGCUUCACGCAUGCUACAAUGGCCGGUACAAAGGGCUGCGAUACCGCGAGGUGGAGCGAAUCCCAAAAAGCCGGUCUCAGUUCGGAUUGGGGUCUGCAACUCGACCCCAUGAAGUCGGAGUCGCUAGU